This 668-nucleotide ribosomal RNA is filed under the name uncultured Candidatus Pelagibacter sp. Its description in RNAcentral is "bacterial SSU rRNA". It matches the Rfam family "Bacterial small subunit ribosomal RNA", at positions 56 to 770 of the family's 1533-position model. The record is from RNAcentral. Lineage: Bacteria; Pseudomonadati; Pseudomonadota; Alphaproteobacteria; Candidatus Pelagibacterales; Candidatus Pelagibacteraceae.
UGCAGUCGAACGAAGUAGCAAUACUUAGUGGCAGACGGGUGAGUAACAUGUGGGUAUCUUCCCUUUGGUGAGGAAUAACACGAGGAAACUUGUGCUAAUACCUCAUAAGUCUUUACGGAGAAAGCUUUAUGCGCCAAUGGAUGAGCCCGCACUUGAUUAGUUUGUUGGUGGGGUAAUGGCCUACCAAGACUUUGAUCAAUAGCUGAUCUGAGAGGAUGAUCAGCCACAUUGGGACUGAGACACGGCCCAAACUCCUACGGGAGGCAGCAGUAGGGAAUAUUGCACAAUGGAGGAAACUCUGAUGCAGCGAUGCCGCGUGAGUGAAGAAGGCCUUUGGGUUGUAAAGCUCUUUCGUCGGGGAAGAAAAUGACUGUACCCGAAUAAGAAGGUCCGGCUAACUUCGUGCCAGCAGCCGCGGUAAUACGAAGGGACCUAGCGUAGUUCGGAAUUACUGGGCUUAAAGAGUUCGUAGGUGGUUAAAAAAGUUGGUGGUGAAAUCCCAGAGCUUAACUCUGGAACUGCCAUCAAAACUUUUUAGCUAGAGUAUGAUAGAGGAAAGCAGAAUUUCUAGUGUAGAGGUGAAAUUCGUAGAUAUUAGAAAGAAUACCAAUUGCGAAGGCAGCUUUCUGGAUCAUUACUGACGCUGAGGAACGAAAGCAUGGGUAGCG